GGCUGUGGAUCAGUGGCAGAGCGCUUGCCUAGCAUGUGUGAGGCCCUGGGUUCAAUCCUCAGCACCA
Molecule: transfer RNA, 67 nt
Filed under: Marmota monax (woodchuck)
Lineage: Eukaryota; Metazoa; Chordata; Mammalia; Rodentia; Sciuridae
Description: tRNA.Ala
Source: RNAcentral